UGGGGAAUAUUGCACAAUGGGCGAAAGCCUGAUGCAGCAACGCCGCGUGAGUGAUGAAGGCCUUCGGGUUGUAAAGCUCUGUCUUCUGGGACGAUAAUGACGGUACCAGAGGAGGAAGCCACGGCUAACUACGCGCCAGCAGCCGCGGUAAUACGUAGGGGGCAAGCGUUGUUCGGAGUUACUGGGCGUAAAGAGUGCGUAGGCGGUUUUCUAAGUUCGGUGUGAAAUCUCCCGGCUUAACUGGGAGGGUGCGCCGAAGACUGGGAAGCUGGAGUGUGGGAAAGGCAGGCGGAAUUCCUGCUGUAGCGGUGAAAUGCGUAGAUAUCAGGAGGCACACCGGCGGUGUAGACGGCUUGCUAGACCAUAACUGACGCUGAGGCACGAAAGCGUGGGUAGCAAACA
This 402-nucleotide ribosomal RNA is filed under the name uncultured bacterium. RNAcentral describes it as "bacterial SSU rRNA". It matches the Rfam family "Bacterial small subunit ribosomal RNA", at positions 355 to 774 of the family's 1533-position model. The record is from RNAcentral.